RNAcentral lists this small RNA (127 nucleotides) under Marmota monax (woodchuck). The record is from RNAcentral. Lineage: Eukaryota; Metazoa; Chordata; Mammalia; Rodentia; Sciuridae.
GCCGGGUGUGGUGACGCACACUUGUAAUACCAGCAACUCACGAGGCUGAGGCAGGAGGAUCACAAGUUCCAAGGCAGUCUCAGCAACUUAGGGAGACCCUCAACAAUUUAGUGAGACCUUGUCUCAA